RNAcentral lists this long non-coding RNA (942 nucleotides) under Homo sapiens (human). Its description in RNAcentral is "HSALNT0225736". The record is from RNAcentral. Lineage: Eukaryota; Metazoa; Chordata; Mammalia; Primates; Hominidae.
UGUGCCUUUUCUGUAAGUCAGAAAUUAUUUUAAAAUACAAAAUUACUAAAAAACUGAUAUUUUAAAAAGUAAAUUACGUCAUGUUAAUACCAUGCUGAAAAUAUUUUUAAGGCCUUCCAGGGCACUUAGCUUGAAACCUGCAAGGCCCUAAGUGAACUGACAGCCUCUCUCACUAUAUUUAAUGUCAGCUUGCAGCUUCUUCUCCUUGCUUCAGAUAUGUCCUGCUUGUGCCUACCCUGUAGAUUUAUGUGUGCUGUUUCCUCUCCCUGGAACUCCUUUCCCUCAGCUCCUCCACACUGGCUCUUCUCUUCCUCAGGUCUCAGCUUAUCUGUCACGUCUUCCUGGAGGCCCUCCCUGAUCACCCUACCCAAGACGGAGCCACUCUAUGUCCUCCUUAGCACUUAUCACAGUCUAUAAUAAUCCGGUUCAUUUACAAUGUUGAUUGCCUCUCAGGUCCAUCAGGGUAUGCACCUUGUCUGUCCUGUUCACCAUUGUAUGCUGGAUUCUUCACCAGAACCACAGAACAACGAAAUGUUUAAUACCAUUCUAGUUACACAGAAAAGAAGUUAAUUCUUUACAUUUGUUAAAUGCCUUUGGGCAUGAGGGCUUAAUUCUUUUGCAGAAGUCUGUUUGAGAAAGGCUGCCAGCCUAGAGCCUACAAAUAGUAGGUUCUGAGUGAGUAUCUGUUGCAUAAUGAACAAGCACAACCUCAAAACCAAAUUUAUGCUCUUUCUCUAUAAUCCUGGUCUUUCUCCUGUAUUUGUUAUACUGAUGAAGGUCAUGGACAAGUCUCCAAUCACCCAAGCAGACUCAGACCUUGGGUGGUGGGAAUUCUACACACCCCAUCUUUCUCACUCUCACAUCUCCAUUCCCUAUGUCCCCUCAGUCCAUUGGCUCUUGUCCAUCUGCUACCUCUGUCCAGAACAUUUGGUCCUCUUCCUC